UCUGAGGACAGGGUAGCUUUUUGGUGGGU
This 29-nucleotide non-coding RNA is filed under the name Rattus norvegicus (Norway rat). The record is from RNAcentral. Lineage: Eukaryota; Metazoa; Chordata; Mammalia; Rodentia; Muridae.